This 497-nucleotide ribosomal RNA is filed under the name uncultured bacterium. RNAcentral describes it as "partial 16S ribosomal RNA". It matches the Rfam family "Bacterial small subunit ribosomal RNA", at positions 28 to 507 of the family's 1533-position model. The record is from RNAcentral.
GACGAACGCUGGCGGCGUGCCUAAUACAUGCAAGUUGAGCGCUGAAGGUUGGUACUUGUACCGACUGGAUGAGCAGCGAACGGGUGAGUAACGCGUGGGGAAUCUGCCUUUGAGCGGGGGACAACAUUUGGAAACGAAUGCUAAUACCGCAUAAAAACUUUAAACACAAGUUUUAAGUUUGAAAGAUGCAAUUGCAUCACUCAAAGAUGAUCCCGCGUUGUAUUAGCUAGUUGGUGAGGUAAAGGCUCACCAAGGCGAUGAUACAUAGCCGACCUGAGAGGGUGAUCGGCCACAUUGGGACUGAGACACGGCCCAAACUCCUACGGGAGGCAGCAGUAGGGAAUCUUCGGCAAUGGACGAAAGUCUGACCGAGCAACGCCGCGUGAGUGAAGAAGGGUUUCGGAUCGUAAAACUCUGUUGGCAGAGAAGAACGUUGGUGAGAGUGGAAAGCUCAUCAAGUGACGGUAACUACCCAGAAAGGGACGGCUAACUACGUG